Molecule: ribosomal RNA, 468 nt
Filed under: uncultured bacterium
Lineage: Bacteria
Description: partial 16S ribosomal RNA
Rfam family: Bacterial small subunit ribosomal RNA
Source: RNAcentral
GACGAACGCUGGCGGCGUGCUUAACACAUGCAAGUCGAACGGAAAGGCCCUGCUCUUGUGGGGUGCUCGAGUGGCGAACGGGUGAGUAACACGUGAGUAACCUGCCCUUGUCUUUGGGAUAACUUCAGGAAACUGGGGCUAAUACCGGAUAGGAGCUCCUGCUGCAUGGUGGGGGUUGGAAAGUUUCGGCGGUAGGGGAUGGACUCGCGGCUUAUCAGCUUGUUUGUGGGGUAGUGGCUUACCAAGGCUUUGACGGGUAGCCGGCCUGGGAGGGUGACCGGCGACAUGGGGACUGAGAUACGGCCCAGACGCGUACGGGAGGCAGCAGUGGGGAAUAUUGCACAAUGGGCGGAAGCCUGAUGCAGCAACGCCGCGUGCGGGAUGACGGCCUUCGGGUUGUAAACCGCUUUCGCCUGUGACGAAGCGUGAGUGACGGUAAUGGGUAAAGAAGCACCGGCUAACUACGUG